Small nucleolar RNA from Abrus precatorius (Indian licorice), 107 nucleotides. The record is from RefSeq and is a predicted model, not a curated record. NCBI's taxonomy places the organism in Eukaryota, Viridiplantae, Streptophyta, Magnoliopsida, Fabales, Fabaceae.
AAAUCAUGAUGAGGACAUCUCCUCAAAAGCUCUCCAAAUCGCUCUCAUGCCUCAAAUAAAGAUUCAGCUUCAUGCUGUUGGAAGCAACAUAUCUCCGUCAUAAGCUU